GGAGGAAGGUGGGGAUGACGUCAAGUCAUCAUGGCCCUUAUGUCCAGGGCGACACACGUGCUACAAUGGCCGGCACAGCGGGAAGCGGAGGGGCGACCCUGAGCGGAUCCCUUGAAAGCCGGUCCCAGUUCGGAUUGCAGUCUGCAACUCGACUGCAUGAAGUUGGAAUCGCUAGUAAUCGCGGAUCAGCCAAGCCGCGGUGAAUACGUUCCCGGGCCUU
Molecule: ribosomal RNA, 220 nt
Filed under: uncultured Thermovirga sp.
Lineage: Bacteria; Thermotogati; Synergistota; Synergistia; Synergistales; Thermovirgaceae
Description: partial 16S ribosomal RNA
Rfam family: Bacterial small subunit ribosomal RNA
Source: RNAcentral